Long non-coding RNA from Drosophila yakuba, 1441 nucleotides. RefSeq lists it as uncharacterized. The record is from RefSeq and is a predicted model, not a curated record. The transcript has 2 exons. NCBI's taxonomy places the organism in Eukaryota, Metazoa, Arthropoda, Insecta, Diptera, Drosophilidae.
CCACCACUGUCAAAUACACUCAGAGAAAUUUGUACUUAUGUACAGCAAGCUGGAAAACUUUAUCUUCUCAAUAUUUUUUCAGAUCCAGAUUUAAAUCUUAAAAUAAUGUUUAGUAUAUUUUACAAAAAUAUUUUAGCAGAAAAGGUUUUAUUCUACAAUGCCCAACACAUUUUUGCAUAUACUUUAAAAGGUUAGAUCAAGUUAAGUUAUGCAAUUAAUUAAGUCAUUAAGCAGAUAUUUAUUUGAGUGUAGACGCACAAUAGUCGGGCAAUUAAGAAGUUUCGCCAUGUGGCUACGUUUCUAAUUAUUUUCAAUUGAAUUGCUUUGCUAUACGUAAAACUUUUUCCAUUGCUACUGCCAUUAAACAUAUCGUGAAACUGCUCGGUCCCACCUCGAAUCCCCGGCCAUUGACAUUAUCCAAUGUCCCCCGGCGUCGAGUGGGUUUAUCGUGGAUGAGUGGGUGUACUCAGGGAGUAUAUAGCUAUCUAAGCUGCAGUGCAUCGGGAAAAGUUGAGCUCUCGCCGAGCCAAGUUUCACAAUAAAAAUUAAACAGGUACUGCGUUGUUUGUUAAUGAUAAGCGCUUCGUUGUUGCUGCUUUGUUCGAGUGGCCAUGGAUUUGGAUUAGUUGGCAAAGUGGAGUGAUGGUGAAGUCACUUUGCUAAAAUACAGCAAUUGUAAAGUGGAAAAUAAAAUGCGAUUGCAAAAAGUUCGUCCAUCACUGGGAACAACUGAAGUAGUGCUCCUCACACAAUUAUUUCAGUUCCUGAACAAAUUAUUGUUCUGUCAAAUAAUUAUUUAAAAAUAGAUAGAAGUACAUAAAUACGCCUAAGCCCUUCGGGUUUUUAAAGUAAUCAAGAUCAAUCCUUAGUGGCAUUUUCCAACACGCUGAGACUGUAAUUGAAUUCGGGCUCUCAAGUGCAGGUUAAGAAGCUUAAUUUAACCUAAAUGUGUUGCUCUGGCUUUUAUUGCCACCUACGCCCGUUCUUUAUCAAAUUUAUGGGCGACUUACAUUAGUCCAACUGCAAAACCGAGAUCAGAAAUGUACCUAAACGCCGGCAAGAUAAACGACUUGGUGUCUGAAAUACGGCUUGUUCUAGUAUGCUGGCCCAUGGUUGUCGGUUUCCAUUUUCGGGGUUUCGCCCGGGGGAUUCCCCUGCAAUCUGCGCCUGGUCAAAGGCAAAUGUGCGUCCGUUGUGGGGAUGCUGUUGCUGUUGCUGUUGCUGCUGCAGUGCGAAUCGAAUCGAAUCGAAUCGCAUCGAAUCGAUUUGAUUUUCCAAUCAAUUAAACUUUAUAUAAAUUGCGUCUGCGAUGCUAAAUAUAACAACAAUUGCACAGCGUUAGCAGCGCCAGCAACAGCAAACAUUUCCACAAAGCACAAAUAGAAAAUAGCACUAGAGUGAUUUCUCGUAUGUAUGUUAAUAAAAUAAUUUAUUAAAAUUA